AGGACUGGAUCUAGAACAGGGACUGUGGGAGGACCCGGGCACCAGGGGGUGUGAGCACCGUAGGCUGCCUUGUAGGCGCCCUCCUUGACUCCCUAGAUGUUCUCCCUAGAUUCGGGGAGCGGCCAUGUCCGCACUCACAGCCUGCCCAGCAUGUUUUAUUGACUCAGAGUGUCUCUGAUGGUGGGCGGGGCCAAUCAGACUUUGGACUGAUGGAAACUCAUGCUUUCGAGUGCUUCCAUUGGGACACAGGGUCCUGGUAGCCCUGAGGUGUCCGCCUCUCCACAGAGAAGUGGCAAGGCUGUUCGCAGAGAGGGGCGCGAGACAGACUCUGGAAUUCAUAGGGCCAUAGGAUGCUGAAUUCUAGAGAGAGUGGAGACACUCUAGGAAGCAGCCCUGGCCUGCUGCUGCCUGGGUACCACCGAGGUCUAACAGCUCUGCUCUGUCCCCACAGGGAGGGCCCCUUCGUCUCCACCUUCUCCCAUCCUUGUGUCAGCUAAUAUGAGUGGAUUUCUUUCUCGGCAGCUGAAGGGCCGUGGGAAACGGUCUUAUUCGUUCCCUUUCUACCCCGCUCGUUCUCUAGCAGCUGUUCUCGAAAAGGCCAGUGGCUGUUUGUCAGUCCCUCACUAUGUCCCAGGUUCCCCGUGGCUUUAUCUCAGGCAUGCAACAUAGUGGCCCAACGAAGAAGGGGCCGGGUGCCACCUUGUUCCUCAGAGACGGCAAAGUGAGGCUCAGAGAGGUUAAGGAGCAGGCCAGAGGCAGCUCAGCUUGUCUGCGCUUGUAGGCUGGUUGGGUCCAGAAGCCUGGGUCUUUUGUUCUGUUGGGUUCUGGAACUUCCACCACGCCCUCUGUCUAUUCUGAGGCUCACAGACACCCGCCACUGCUUCAGGGAUUGUUGCUCCUCCCCACGCGUGCCACUCACAAGUCCUGGGAAGACGUAGGUCAUGCCACAGGGAAGGAAAGCAGUCCAUCCUGGCCGCAACGGAGCCCCUGACAUUCCACCGCCCCAUCUCUGGUUAUGUCUCAUCUGUCUCUCUUUCCAACAAUGCCUUGCUCGUUGGGAGUACUCAAGUGUAUGUAUUUCCAGAAUGUUAUGCUUGGUAUCACAGCAAGAGACUAGUAAUUAGAGAAAGCGACAUCAAGAUAAACAUACAAAAGAAGCCACAUGAUAGAGAAAGACCGGAAGCCCUUCCCUACCUGGGCUUCAGACAGCACACAGAGCAUGUGCUAGAACAGCCUGUGCUGUACAAACACCACAGGGAGAGAAUUGGCCGGCACUGGGGGAAUUGAAAAUUAAGACGAAGACACUACCUCCAGCGGACUCCCUGGUGAAUAAUUCAUGUGGCCAGAGCCCACAGCAGCCUAGAGAAACAGAAACCCUCAGUGUCUGUCCUUCCUGCUCUGUCCACGUAUUUUCCUGACCCGUCAUAGAGAUGGAGCCCCGCCCUCUGGAGAAGGGGCAAAAGGAGGAUUCUGCUGGAGUUUUUGAUGCGAUCUUGUUGCUGCAUGACCUUUGAGGAAUUCAGCUCCUCCAUGAGCAGGAGCCCUGCUUGGCAUCACCUUGGCACUGCUGAAUCCUGUAGACCCAAGUGGUGGAAGAGACCCAGAGCAGCCAGCCAGGCCAGCUUGGCUGCACAGCUUUUGUAAGACAGCUCUUCCACUCUUGUUCACAUUUCUUCCCCUAGUGCACCUUCACUGCGGGCCUGCUCUGUGACCGUGACAGAGUCCCGAUGCCAGGGGACAUCUACAGCUCAGGGUGCCUCUACUGACGAGGAAUGCAAGCAGCAGACAUGGCAAGAGCCUCUGACUCCAGCCUCGGGGUGGCCGGCGAGGAUAUAUGGUGGACGGUGCUCCUGAACUGAACCCUGUCAGGGAGAGAUGGUGUUUUUGCUGUUUUCCGUUGCUGUAACAGAAUGCCCGAGACUGGGUGACUUACAGAGAAGAA
Peromyscus maniculatus bairdii (prairie deer mouse) is the source of this 1942-nucleotide non-coding RNA. The record is from RefSeq and is a predicted model, not a curated record. Lineage: Eukaryota; Metazoa; Chordata; Mammalia; Rodentia; Cricetidae.